Molecule: ribosomal RNA, 642 nt
Filed under: uncultured bacterium
Lineage: Bacteria
Description: bacterial SSU rRNA
Rfam family: Bacterial small subunit ribosomal RNA
Source: RNAcentral
AUAACAGUUAGAAAUGACUGCUAAUACCGCAUAAGCGCACAGUGUCGCAUGACACAGUGUGAAAAACUCCGGUGGUAUGAGAUGGACCCGCGUCUGAUUAGCUAGUUGGUGAGGUAACGGCCCACCAAGGCGACGAUCAGUAGCCGACCUGAGAGGGUGAUCGGCCACAUUGGGACUGAGACACGGCCCAAACUCCUACGGGAGGCAGCAGUGGGGAAUAUUGCACAAUGGGGGAAACCCUGAUGCAGCGACGCCGCGUGAAGGAAGAAGUAUUUCGGUAUGUAAACUUCUAUCAGCAGGGAAGAUAAUGACGGUACCUGACUAAGAAGCCCCGGCUAACUACGUGCCAGCAGCCGCGGUAAUACGUAGGGGGCAAGCGUUAUCCGGAUUUACUGGGUGUAAAGGGAGCGUAGGCGGUCUGACAAGUCAGAAGUGAAAGCCCGGGGCUCAACUCCGGGACUGCUUUUGAAACUGCCGGACUAGAUUGCAGGAGAGGUAAGUGGAAUUCCUAGUGUAGCGGUGAAAUGCGUAGAUAUUAGGAGGAACACCAGUGGCGAAGGCGGCUUACUGGACUGUAAAUGACGCUGAGGCUCGAAAGCGUGGGGAGCAAACAGGAUUAGAUACCCUGGUAGUCCACGCCGU